Molecule: ribosomal RNA, 539 nt
Filed under: Bacillus paranthracis
Lineage: Bacteria; Bacillati; Bacillota; Bacilli; Caryophanales; Bacillaceae
Description: bacterial SSU rRNA
Rfam family: Bacterial small subunit ribosomal RNA
Source: RNAcentral
GAGUGAUGAAGGCUUUCGGGUCGUAAAACUCUGUUGUUAGGGAAGAACAAGUGCUAGUUGAAUAAGCUGGCACCUUGACGGUACCUAACCAGAAAGCCACGGCUAACUACGUGCCAGCAGCCGCGGUAAUACGUAGGUGGCAAGCGUUAUCCGGAAUUAUUGGGCGUAAAGCGCGCGCAGGUGGUUUCUUAAGUCUGAUGUGAAAGCCCACGGCUCAACCGUGGAGGGUCAUUGGAAACUGGGAGACUUGAGUGCAGAAGAGGAAAGUGGAAUUCCAUGUGUAGCGGUGAAAUGCGUAGAGAUAUGGAGGAACACCAGUGGCGAAGGCGACUUUCUGGUCUGUAACUGACACUGAGGCGCGAAAGCGUGGGGAGCAAACAGGAUUAGAUACCCUGGUAGUCCACGCCGUAAACGAUGAGUGCUAAGUGUUAGAGGGUUUCCGCCCUUUAGUGCUGAAGUUAACGCAUUAAGCACUCCGCCUGGGGAGUACGGCCGCAAGGCUGAAACUCAAAGGAAUUGACGGGGGCCCGCACAAGCGG